UGAUUACCCUUACACUAUCCUUGUUAUUUUAGGAAUCAAAACUCUCUUUACUUUCUUGGUAUCCAUAGACCAAAUGAAGCAUCAAAGGGAAUUCUUCUGCAUUUGCAAUAGGGAAAAGAUAAUCUGUCCUUUUGAUUUUGCCUAAUGCUAUUAAAUCUUCAGUUCUGCAGAAGCCUGGUUUUUCAGAAAUAUGAUCUGAGCCAGAGUCUCAGGUACCCUGGCAGACACAAUUGGUGCUGUUGUUUCCUUUACUGGCCUGUCUCCCUCUCCCUCUCUCACAGCCCCACCCCUCCCCAACACUGAGAGUUUGAGAGUGAAGGUCCCUGACACAGAGGAAUUUGUGCCUAAGGCUGGGAAUACCCUGGUGGCUGCUCAGCUACUUAGAGAAAGAAUGAAAACAGCUUACAGGUCCUGAGACUGGCAAAUUUCAUAAGGUUCCUGUCUUUGUGAUUUGCUAAGUAAAUUUGGUAGAUAAACUUGCACUAACUAAAAAGAGACGUUUGAAAUAAAUACCGACACUAUUUCAGUUAUAUCAUUCACCUUUAUGAUUUGGUGAAUUAAUAAUAAUAGUCAUGUUAUUUGUUAGCUGAUUGAUUUACAAUGUGCUGGACAGCGAGCUUGAGUUGCCAUCCAAAUCCUGACUGACGCUGAAAAAUUAGGUGUAUAUUUAUUUGUUUGGAAUAGUGACUGAAAAAGGAAGGAGCGGAAGGUUUUGAAGGGAAUCUAAAAGUAUUUUAAAGGAGUGGUUUCAAAUCUUUUGAACUGGGAUAUUUACAGAAAAAUUAUAGGCCAUUUAUCAAUAGAAAAGUUCAUAAUGGCAGAAUGUUAUUAUCAAUUUAAUAACAUGUUCAAGUGAAUUUGCGUUUUAAGAAGAGGGAAAACAGUCAUCUACAUGGGUUUGUAGAAAACAAAAGCAAGAGUGUGAGCACAUUCAGUGUUAGACAAUAAUUGGUGCAUAUGUGGGCCCACUCACACAUUUCUUGAGCACCUGUUGAGUAGGCCACCGUGUUCGGAGUUCAAGUCAGGAGGGGGCGGUGGAUACAGCUUUGUGUAAGUAAGAAAUAAGUCACAUUCCUGUCCUUGUGGAAUUUACACAAUGCUGGAGUCCUCCAGGAUACCUGAAGCUCAUAGAUAAGAACCGUAUCAAUGAUCAUCCAUCAAUUUUGACAGUAACUGAAACUAGAUCAUCUUCAAAUCACACACUCUGUACGGAUUUCAAUAGUCAACUCUCAAAAUUGUAAAGGAACUUAUAUUUUAUUCAGGUCAGUGUUUUUCUCUUUUGCUUAGGUUGGGGAAGAACUUGGAAAUCACGUGUUCUGGAUUUAAUAUUAAGAAAAAUUGAGAUAUUAAGCCUGAAAUAGCUAACUAUCAAUUUCAUGCCAGUUAAAUAAAAACCAAACUUUCACUGUGGAUGCCAGUAAUUUAGCAUAUAAAUCAAUGAAUGAGAAACUUCAAGUUGAGAAGCUUCUAUCUUAUCAGAUUACUUUGUCCUAUAAAUUAGAAAAAUAUGACUGCAAUUAUAUUUUACCCCAGAGGAAAAGACUUAUUUUACCCAAUGUAUUUUCGCUUGAUGUUGUUGUUGCUGUUUUUUUUUUAACAGCUUAUUGGAGGCAUACUUUACAUACUGUAAAAUAUAUCCAAGUGUGUAAUCCAAUGAUUUUUAGUAAAUUUAUGGAAUUGUGACCAAAGGCCAAUCCAUCACUGCCAUCCAAUUUUAGAACAUUCUCAUUAUCCCUGAAAGACUCCACCUGCCUAUUUGUUAUGACUAUCCUCAACCCCAUUCCCAGACAACCACUGAUCUAUUUUCUCUCUCUUUUGAUUUGACUUUCUGGACAUUUCACACAAAUGGGAUCACAAAACGUAUAUAGUCUUUAGCAUCUAGUUUCCUUCACGUAGAACAGUGUUUUUGAGGUUCAUACAUGAGGUGUAGCAUGUAUCAGUAGUUGGUUCCUUUUUAUUGCUAACUAAUAUUCAUUCCGUGGUGUAGCUGGCCCACAUUUUGUUCACCAGCGGGUAGGUAUUUCUGCAUUUACCUUUAAGUGGUAAGACAGAUACUGCGGUCCAGCUUCCAUGGUAGCAUAAUGUGAAAUAAUUGUAGGGUCCAACCUCUUAUUUAUACUUAUGAAAAACAUAUUCAUGGUAUGGAAUACACCAAUAGUUUCUGUGUUUGCCAUAACUGUGAUCUUUCUAUGACGCUCCCACAAAAAGAGUAAAUAGUCAACCCUGUGCAAGGAACAGAAAGCAUGAGUCAUUUGGUAUUCUAGGUUGGACUCGGAAGAUGUUUCACUCUUUUUUUAUUUUUUUAAUGUUUAUUUAUUUUUUUAGAGAGAAAGACAGAGGGUGAGCAGGGGAGGGGUAGAGAGAGAGGGAGACACAGAAUCCAAAAAAGGCUCCAGGCUCUAAGCUGUCAGCCCAUGAACCGUGAGAUUAUGACCUGAGGCAAAGUCGGACAUUUAACCAACUUGAGCCACGCAGGCGCCCGGAAGAUGUUUCACUCUUGACAUUAAUAUUUGCGAAGAGACUACAUCUCCUUUGCUACCUGCUCUUCACAAAUGAUGCAUUUAGAGUGGGCGAAUUUUGAUGAUUGUUUUAUUUAACAGUGAUAACUGAAGUACUCUCAAAAAUAUGAGUGCUUCCUAAUAACAUAUUUUAAUGGCACACUUAACGUAAAGCAUAUCAGAAAUUUCUAGCACUGCAAAAGCAUUGACCUUUGGUUUCCCUCUCUUAGGAAUCAGGAACCUUGAAUAGCAGCUCAGUCAGAACCCCCACUCACCCUGCUUUGUGCGGACUACUACAGCAAAUGCAUUCUUAGGUUACAGUUGACAAUUUAUGCUUAAAGAUCCUCUUAGAAGGAUUUCUCCGGUUGAGUAGAAACCCUUCUAGUCAAAGUUGGCAGAUUCUGUGAAACUCAAGAGAAGACAAUGUCUCUUCAUGCGUGGAAGUUACUGCUGACAUUACACUUUCCUGUUGGGGAAAAAAGAACAUUAAUAUAAUUUAAAGGUUGAUUUUAUUGAUGACUUGGAAUGCAAAGGAUUUUAUUUUUAAAAUUCUAAAAUUUGAAAGAUAGUUUAGAUUAAAUAAUGUAGUUUUCCAAAGCUGAAUGUGCUGAAUAGAACUCGUUUUUUUUUUUUUCUUCUUCUUCUUCUUUCUGCUUGAAAUACCGGAACAACUUGCUGAAAUCCCUUGGGUGAGAACACUGUGGUUUUGAUGAUCUGUGAUUGGAUGAAUUAAUCAGUCUCCACUGGGAAGCCAGGCUUAAUGUGAUGGAAACACUCUUGAACUUGGUGUCCAGAAGACAAAGGCUUGAGUUACACCUCUGUUAGUGUUACUGUGACCUUGGAGCCAGAAUUCACAAUGACAACAGUAACCGUAACCACAGAGGUUCCCCCAAGGGGUAAAAUAGAAGAUAAUUCUGCCUUGUAUGAGUCCACAUCAGCUCAGAUUAUUGAAGAGACUGAAUAUGUGAAAAAGAUCCGAACUACUUUGGAAAAGAUCCGAAAUCAAAUUUUUAAAGACGAAGUAGGACGUAACAGCACAAAUCACAGACUAGAAACAAAGCGCUGCCCAAACAUUCACAGCGGCUCUGGUUCUGAAAUGGAUCCCUCGUAUUGCAGUUUGCAUCUGCUCGUGGAAAGGAUGAAAGGAAAAGACCUGAAGCUCUUAGAAAUGAACAAAGAGAAUGAAGUCUUGAAAAUCAAGCUGGAAGCUUCCAGAGAAGCAGGAGCGGCGGCUCUGAGAAACGUGGCACAGAGGUUAUUUGAAAUCUACCAAACACAGUCGGAAGAAGUUAGAAAGAAACAUGAGGAUGAUAAACGCUUCCUCAAGGUUAACAAACUUGAAAAGGAACAACAACUGAAACAACAUGUUGGAAAUCUGAAUCAAGUUGCUGAAAAGCUUGAAGAAAAACAUAAUCAAAUCACAGAGUUGGAGAACCUUGUACAGAGGAUGGAAAAGGAAAAGAGAACACUGCUAGAAAAAAAACUGUCUUUGGAAAACAAGCUGCUGCAACUCCAAUCCAACGCUACAUAUGCUAAAAGUUGCCACGAUCUUCAAAUGGAAAUUGCCCUUCUGCAGGAGCAGACCUCUCAUCUACAGUUUGUGAUUCAUUCCCAACAUCAGAACCUGCGCAGCGUCAUCCAGGAGAUGGAAGGAUUAAAAACUAAUUUGAAAGAACAAGAUAAAAGGAUUGAAAAUCUGAAAGAAAAAGUUAACAUACUUGAAGCCCAGAGAGACAAACAGAGUGUGAGCAGGUGAUGGGCAGAGAGAGGGAGACGCAGAAUCCAAAGCGGGCUCCAGGCUGUCAGUGCAGAGCCUGAUGUGGGGCUCAAACUCACAAACCACAGGAUCUUGACCUGAGCCAACGUCGGACGCUUAACCGACUGAGCCACCCAGUGUUUUGAAACCUGAAGCCUAGCAUAACGCUUCAUAAUUUACCAUCAGAAACGUGCUUUUCUUCCCACCCACUCAUCUCCGCUUCACUAGGGAAGCCCUUUAUAGACUUUCGGCUACAGACCCAGGCUCCGGCUGUGCCCCACCUCCCAGCAAGUGCAGCAAAGCCCACACAGAGGUGGCUGGAGUGCCCAAGAUGCCACAGCUGCGUCCACCUGGGCUCUAGCCGGUGCUCAGGGCCACCGCUUCCUUCUCUGUCAGAGACUCAUCAUUCGCCGCCUGGACGGGUCAGCUUUUCUACUUCAUUCUUCUGUGCUUCGACUUCCUGCCACGCACUCCUGUCCCAAGGAACACAGAGACGCUCUGACUUCCACUAGAUUUCUCCUCCUCUCUGGGGGCUUUUCUCCCCCCACAGGGUAGCCCAGGGAGGAGCCGCACCACCAUACUCCCAGCACACUGCCACACCGUUUCUCGCACCACCGUGUUCUUUCUGCUUUCCCCAAACAAAUCAUAAUAACGUGAAGAGGCCGUAAAUAUGUUUACAUCUUAACUUUUGUAACCAUUGCCGUGUUUUGCCAUGUCGACCUUCCCAGAGGACCACUGUUCUCUCUGUCCUGGAGGUUGGGGCCUCGAAGCCUCGGGCUUUUCUUAGAUUUUCACCUUCUUUAGGUUACACGUGACUGGUUGAUAAAAAUACUUGCAUCUCUGUGCAGCUGAAAAAUGCAACGAUUUUUCUGGAAUAAUUGGUUCAAAACUGGUUUCCCCUCCAGUGCCCAGUAACGGCUGGUCAGUCUCAAGGGGCCUCAGAUGAUGGGAUUCAUACCCCUUUGAGCCUCUUCCUCCCAAGAAAGGUAUCUAAGGGUAUUUCCUCACAGCUUUGUGUACUUUUGGCAAACAUUUUGGCAAAUGUUACUUGAGAGAAUAUUUUUUCUUUUAUGAUUUGUAUGUAACUAAUAUAUAGUCAUUCUUUUCUAUAUAAAUAAAGAAAUAUGGAUAGCCAAAUAUAAUAAGAAAAUUAUGCAAACCUGCCAUCCAUGAGUCAGCACAGUUGUGUAUAUCUGUUUUUCUAUGGGACUCUUAUGUGCCUGGUACAUAUGUGUGCAUAGGUAUUAAACAUAUAGACUAUUUAUGGCAUAAUGUCUAUAUCACUGUAUUUUUAUUUAUUUAAUUUAUUUAAUUUUAAAUGUUUAUUUAUUUUCGAGAGAGAGAGAGGUAGACAGGGAGGGGUGGGGAGAGACGGGGACAGAGGAUCCGAAGCAGGCUCUGUGCUGACAGCAGAGAGCCUGAUGCAGGGCUCCAACUCAUCAACUGUGAGAUCAUGAUCCGAGCUGAAUUCGUACACGUAACCAACUGAGCCACCCAGGAGCCCCUAUUUCAUUGUAUUUUUAAGCUUUUAUUCAUUUCACUCAUUUGCUCACAUCAUCAAUCUUGUAGUUAAUUCUAGAAGUACCUAUUGAGUGGCUACUAUGAUGUAGAUGCUAAGGCAGGGAAAACAAUAUUGAAUAAAAUAGACAUAAGUGAGCCCUGCACUCUGGACUUUACUGCCUAGAGAGGGAGACAGACACAUAAAUGAACACGUAACUUGCAAUAUUUUGGAAGCAUUCUGCCAGAAAAGAACAAGAUAUUCUGAGAGAGAACACCUGGAUAGAAGAUUUAGAUUGGUGGGUGGGAGCAAGCUCUCUAAGAAAAUGAGUUUUAAUCUGAGCUUAGUGGAAAACUGGGUGGUAGGGCAGGUCAGGCAGAAGGACAGGGAGCCAUUGUGAUUGCUUCUAAUCCGAGAGUGGUAUGUAAUAGCAUGGAAUGACAUUGGAAAAGUAGGAAGAGACCAUGCCGAGGAGUCUUUUUCUCUAUAUAGCAAUAUAUCAAGAAGUCUAUGCUUACCAAACAAAUUUCAUUUGUAUUAUCUUUAAAUGGCCACUAUAUUGAUCUACAAUAAUUUAAUUAACUCACUCCUUUUUGUUGGACCUUAGAUUGUUUUUCAGUAUUACAAUUGUGGGGUUUUUGUUGUUGUUUUGUUUUGUUUUGAAUUUUUUUAAUGUUUAUUUAUUUUUGAGAGAGAGAGACAGAGCAUGAGCAGGGAGGGGCAGAGAGAGAGGGAGACACAGAAUCUGAAGCAGUCUCCAGGUUCCAAACUGUCAGCACAGAGCCCGAUGUGGGGCUUGAACUCAUGAACUGAGAAAUCAUGACCUGAGCAGAAGUCGGACGCUUAACCAACGGAGCCACCCAGGCACCCCUCAGUAUUGCUUUUGUAAACAACACUGAAUUCAACAUCUUUAUACAAAGAUCACUAAUCAUUUAUAUAUUUACUUCCUUCCUUAAGAUAAAUUUUUAGAAGUGGAAUUGGUAACUCAGAGUAUAUCCAUUUUUAAGGUUUUUGAUAAUGUGUUCUCUGACUUCUAGGUUUCUGCAAGAUCAGUCAUCUCCCUCAGUGGCCACAGGCCCACCUGCAGCUGCCUCUGCUCGGGCAGUCAACAGUCCUUCAGUCCUCAUAUUUCCAAUCUUCUGAUAGUCUUUUUCCCCCCUCUCUAUUACUAAGGGAUUUUAAUACAUAGAAAUCAUUUGUUAUUAUUUUAAUAAAAUAUAAGAAGGGGGAGAUGAUAAACACAUGUUCUCAGAUUCCCAUUUUGGACUGGGAAUCUCAUUUAAAUCCAAGUUUACAUGUAAUUCAUGAAGUUUGGUGUGAGGUAGGGAUCUAACUUUUUAGUUGUCUCACUUUACUGAGAAGUCUGGGCUUUUUUCAUGCAUUUGAAAUGCCUUUUAUCCUAAACUGAAGUUUCAUGUUGGAAAUCUGUUCCAAUGGUGUAUCUGCCUGUUUUGGCUCCAGUGCCCUCUUGCUUUACUCACUGCACUUUGGUAAUACAUUUUAAUUGGAGAGAUUACCUGUCUCUGGGCUUUCACUGCAUUGUGGUUCUGGGUUCUGGGUCAGACGUAAUGAAGUGCCAGCUGUCAUCACAGGAUCAAGGUAUCAAUGGUACUACCAGAACAAUGUAUUUGUUUCCAGUGUACUCUGUUUCUAUUUUCUCAAAAAUUCAGCAAAUAAUUGCUGAUUAGCCACUUGGUAUGAUAUGAGAAAGCAACAGAUUUGUUCCCCUCAUGGAAACUUCUUGGUUGGCCACAGACUCUUUGCAGUGAUGUGAAAGCACCUCUCAAUACUGUCUCAGAUUCUCUGUAGAUAGCUUGAUUCAAGCCACUAUAUAUUAAUGUUUUCUUUUACAAAAAGGCUUCAAACUAUGGCACUAUUGGAUGAAUGUCUUUAUAUAUUCUCAAAAUUUAUUAUCUUCUGUAGAUAAAUCUUUUCCUUCACAGCAAGGAAUUUUACAGUAACCACUUCAGCUUUAUAAAGUCCAAACCACAUGAAUUUAAUUUAUCCAUCAAAUAGUUAUGUGUCUUUAUGAUGUACCAGGAAAUGUUUCAAAUGUUGAGUAUAUGGGUAAUGCACAGAACAGACUGUCCCUGACCUCAUCUAGCUUAUACUUUAUUUGAAAAUACAGAUAAUCGGGGCGCC
This is an RNA transcript of Acinonyx jubatus (cheetah), 7894 nucleotides long. It is a transcript of the gene named coiled-coil domain containing 68, with no coding region annotated. NCBI's taxonomy places the organism in Eukaryota, Metazoa, Chordata, Mammalia, Carnivora, Felidae. The record is from RefSeq and is a predicted model, not a curated record. The transcript has 12 exons.